UGACAUCAUUAAACGGGUAACAACGCAAUCGUGUAGGAACCUAUAUUUGUCUUUAUAUAAUUGAAACAGGCGCAAAAUUGUCAUUUAUGGAAAAAAAAAAAAAAAAAAAAAUAACAGACAAUAACUAUCAAAGUCAUUUCAGCAUUCACAGUUCAAAUAGGAUAUCUUUUAUCCUUCGUUAUGGGGUGAUGCAGGCCUGUAUGUUGGACUUGAUCAUGCCAUCAUGAUAAGCAGUACCAGAGAGUGGAGAUCGAGUGGGUGUCAUCCCUAAAUCCAGAACUUCCAUAUAACUUGGAAGCUGAAGUUCGAUGGUAUUCUUUGGCAUCUCAUCAUUGACAUACAAAGGACAGUAUCCAGUUCCAAUAGGUGCGAGCUGACCUAACACAAUAUUCUCAGUGACCCCCGCAAAUAAUCUGUUUCAGCAUAAGCUGCAGCAUCAAGAAGAAUGUCAACAGUUUCUUCAAAUGAACAUCUCAUCAAGGGUCCAGUAUCAAUCCUGUUGAUGCCAUGACGAGUGAUGGCCAUCAAGUGGCCUAGAUAGGUCAUGGUAUCACAAAGGAUAGCCAGAUGCCGAUAAUUCACAUAAGAGCCAUCAAAAGAUAUGACUGCUCGCAAUUCAUGCAGCAGCACCCUACGAACUGCCUCAAUCUCCAGCACUUCAAUCAUUUCAACCAAGUGAUUGCUUGUUGUCCUUCUCGCAUCAACUUCUUCAUGACACAUAACAGCUAAAAGAUUCACACCUUCAGCGUCCAGCAUAAAUUCCUUUUCCGACUUAAAUCGUUCAUUAUCAUCGUACUUGGUUGAUUUAACCUUUUUAAUGAACACCUUGUUGAUAUGGGGGAUACCUUGGAGAGCCAUUUCCAGCAGCAUGUUAUUCUCAAUCUUUUCCAAGAAAACAUCAUCUUCAGCUGAUUCAUCAUUCAGUCCUCCUAUUGGAGCUUCAUUAUUCAUGAUACGAGUACGAAGGACGGGUAUACUGAGGAUUCAAUCCCAGGAGUUGGCAGUCCUCAUCAGUUAUUCUUGCCAGAACUUCAAGUACCUGAAAUAUGGUUAACAAAGUUAGCAUCAUGAAACAAGCAGGUGAAAAUGAAACCGCGAAUGUGUUGCCUUCAGAAUAAGUUACCCUUUCUGCAGUAAGUGUCUGCUUUCUUUCAACAGGUUCAGGAAGUUGUCCUUGAUCAUCAUUCUUUUUUCUUUGAGCCUUGUACUCUGCAAUCAUAUUCAUGCCGUCAAUUGUCAGCGUUGGUUGCAGAGCACCACAGCCACUCUUUCUCUUUCUAAGAGGUUCUUCACCAUCAUGACCAAGGAGACUGAGGACAUCAAUCUCAUCAUCGCCUUCCCAUUUGUUUUUGGUUUUACAUGCACACAAAAUCUGUUCAAGCCUGCUCUUGGGGUUCCUUAUUUUCAAAGCUAGCUUAAACUUGCCAUCUUCCUGCUUGAAAAAUAAGCAAUCACGCAUGAAGCAGACAAUAAUCUACUAGAAAUUUUAAGGAUGGACGAACAAUCAAACUAUGAAAGAAACAACUUCAUCUCAUCUACACUAUUGGGAACCAAAUAGAACAAGAAAGGGAGGAUAAAAAAAAAACAGUUCAGAUAACCAAGUACCAUGGAAAGCCUACUUCAAAAUGCAUAUAAAAAACCUACAAGGCAUCUAUCAUGAAAGCAGAAUUCGUAUCCAAAUCCUAUUUCUCAAUGGGAAAAUGGAGAUAAACAAAAUUGACUACAUCUAUACUUUAUAAAAUACAUGACAUUAAUAAUACAUGCACGAAUAACCAAUGAUUCCCUGAUGCUAGUAAAGAAUACAAUUUACAACUUAUAGCCGUAUCAGGUUAGUACUCUUUCAAAAUUUCUUUUCAUUUUUUUUUCCUCCUUCAUCAGCAACCAACCAGACUACCAAUAAAUUACAAGAGAGAAACGCUAAGGCCAAAGGAAAAUUACAAUUUCGUCAGGGCUGAGAAUGCUGAACUGGACCAACCGGACCUUGGCGACCUCGCCUGGAGAGUACGUAAAGCUAUUUUCCAUGGCGAGCUCUCCAAGCUUUGAGUAGCAGCACAGUGGCAAGCUUGAAGUGUCAGCUAGAAAUGCAGGGCAAAACAGCGUAAUAAGACCAAAUUACCCUUUGGAGUUGCUCGGCUGUCAAGACUGAACACUAAUCGGCCCAACUACCGCAAUAACAACAGUAACUGACUAUUGUGCGUGUAUAUGUGGCAACGGCUGAGUUGCAAUAUCCGUAACUUACAGCCAGCCAAUAUGAAUCGUUAGAUUUGAGGGUCUGAAAUCGAAUGGACGGGAAAUAACAUACGAAACUUAUAAAUGGGUCAAAGAAUUUUUCAGCAAUUAGUGGGCAUACCGGGAACAAUGGUUUGAAAUAUAAAAGCGAGUGAUCGGUUCUGAGUAAUAUGAUUGAAGGGCAAAAAAAUAAUUAAUUAAUUAAAAUAAUUGUGAAUCAAUCACUCACAAAUAGGGGUGGGAAUAAAACAAUAACUAUAAUAUAAUAAAAUGAUUGAUUAAAUUAUAUUUAACCGAUUACAAGCUAAUUAAAUUUUUUUAGAAGUGAAAUUUAACCGGUUCUAAAUAUAUUUAAAAAAAAAAAGAUUCGUCUUUUAAUAAAAGAAAAAAUUAUAAAAAGAAAACAAAAAGUAAUAGAGACUAGCUGGAGUGCGAUUUGGGUGGGUGAUUCAAGAGGCUGAGUUUGAAUUGUACUUGCCUCAGCCACUUUUAGAUUCUUCUUUUGCGUAAUCACAAUAUGACCUGAUUGAGUAACUGAGCACGAUGGCAAGAAUCUUCUUUCUAGAUACAAGAUGCAAUUCGGCGUCGGCGAUUGGAGAGGGUAAGAGUUUUGAAUGCUAUUCGGACCGCUUUUGAUAAUUUAGAAAACCAGCUUGAGGUUUUGCAUGUAAGACUUUUUUUAGCUUUUCUUUUUGGUUUUUGUAAGUUUUAGAUAAUGUGCGUCUCUUUUGGUUGUGAUUUGUUUUGUUCCGAGAAAAUUGAGGGUGAAAGAUGAAAACUUUCAGUUUUAGCACAAGUAACCUGGCUAAUUGUAUUGGUUAUCGAAGUACCAGAUUGGUCAUCGAAUUAUUGCGAGCGAGUUUUUGCAUGUAGAUGAUUUAAUCAAAUUGUUAUCUGAUAAACAGAUGAUUGCUCACAGCAGGUUCCCUCUCCUUUAAAUUAGUUUAGGCAAAGUAAGUCAUCAUCAUUUGGAAGUUUGCAAUAGACUGUAAAAUGAGCCAGUCUUUGUUUAAUGAAAUAUUUAAUAUCAUAAAAUUUGCUUAGAUGAAAAAAUUAGAGGGGAUAUUAUUGAUUUGCUAAAUUAAUUUAAUGACAUAAUUUCGGUAAAAUUCAAAGUUCAAACUCAGUCAUUUAUAAUUGUUUGUCUUGCUAUUCAUUUUCUUUAAUUCCUCUGUUCUUCAUUUGAGUUUCAUCCGCUACAGCACCUCAUUAGGUUGCUGAACAAGAUGAAUAUUUAGAUAACUAUGCAUGACAGGAUCAAAGAAUAACAAUUAAUAAAACUUCAUUUCUCAGCUAAAUGGCAACAAUAAGAUUGUUCAUUGGUUUAUCGAUUAACUACGAGGAAUCAACAUGAAAUAUUCGGCUUAUGUUCAAUUUUCCACUAAUGCCUAUGCAAACUAAAUUUAUGCAUGUAAUUAAAAAUUAUGACAGCACUAUAUCGAGAUUAAUCUAAUCAAGAAAUUAAUUACCUAUUAUUUUGUUUUUCUUUUUAAUUUUUCUAAGAAAUCUCAUUAUUCUAAACAAGUUUAAUUUGAAAUAGUAGGACAGAGAAGUGCCUCACGAGAAUUAAGAGCAUCGAUGUUCAAGUUGUCAUGAACGGGGGUCAGUUAAUUUCAUCAAAAAGACGAAGACGUCGAUUGUCACGAUCACUACUAUCAGGUAACCCUAACUUCAGGUUCAGAUCAAUUUUGUUAUCAGCAUCUUGGAGAUCAUAGCCGUUCACGUUUGUUGCUGCUGCUUGAUUGAACCACCGAGAAUCCAUGGUAGGCGAAAUGAUCAAUUUCUAUGUCUACCGUCAACCAAAAACAACUUGGAAAAUCAGUUUAAAUAUUGAGAGAAGAAGAUCGAUAGGUUAAUAGCUAGCAAACGGAAGAGAAUGAGAGAGAAAUGAAGUUAAUUAAUAAUUUGGUCAUGCAUGAAAUGUAGGAAACUGGUCGAGCACUCAAUAGAUAAAACAAAACGACCUAUAAGACUGAAAUAUAUAUUACAAAUGGACGCACUUGUUAUGUGAUAAGAUUACAAAAAUCAUCAUUAGAUGAGAAAAUUUAGACAGAUAUUAUAAUAAUAUUCUUAAUUCAUAUAUCAAUUAUCUAAGUUCAAUUUCCAUUGAGAUGUAUGAUCUAACUAUAGAUCUGAUUAAUUUGGACAUGAAUGACCAGCAAUCUAAUCAUAUAAACAUGAACAACGUAAAUAUUAUUAAGCUUUUGUUCAUCAAAGAUCUAAAAGGAAAAUUUUACAUAAAUUAAAAAAAAAAACUUGGAAGGAUAUAUACAUGCUGGUUCGAAUAGAACGAGCUGAAAUUUUUCAAAAAACUUUAUUUAUUUAAACCCUUAACCUACUGGUCUUGAAUCCGAUAGGACCCAAUUCUUUUACAAAGAUUUAAUUGUGUUACGAAGUUCAUCCACAAAAAAAAAAAAAAAAUCAUAAACCCUUGACCAAACUUGGACAUUCAAUGAACUGCGAAAAAAAAAAAUGAUCAACAACACUGAACACAGAGCAUCAUCUCCCAAUCGAUUCAAAUGGAUAGAAAACAAAUUAACGAGAAAGAAAGUAUCAAAUCCAAGGAUAAUUUUUCGUAUGUUCACAUAUUGUAUAAGAGCGUUUGAUAUUAAUGUCUUGUAAAUUUUAAAUUAUAGCUACUAUAGAAAAAGAGCAGUAUUUAUGAAAUAAACAUUAAUAGUAACUAAAUAUGGCUUUUAAUAAUAAUUUUGACAAAAAUUAAUAAAAACCUUACAGGUUUUUCAUCUUACAAGUGAUAAAUCAAAACAACUUAACUUUCAAGUUAUAGCAAUUAAUAUUUAUUAAAUAUUUUAGUGCUGCCCAACCUCGAUAAUAAAUAGGGCCUUAGUGAGUGAUCGUCCAAUAAUAUAAGAACAUUGAAGCUUAAUAUUUCAGGCGCAUUAGUUCUUAAGAAAUAUAUAAAAUCUAUAUAAGAUUUUUAAGAUUAAUGGAUCGAAAAUAUAUUUACUCCACGAUUUAAUGAUGAUCGCAAGUAUUGGUGUAAGAAAUACAUAUAUAGUCUAUCAUGGCUCCGAAUAAACUUCCUGAAUAAUUUUAUUUUGUGAUAAUUUGAUUUUUUAAAUUAUAAAACAGCUUUUUUUUUUUUUUUUGUUUAUUAAAAUUUUGAUGCAGCCCUCUCAUAAUGCUCGAGCUCACACAAGCUAGAAAAAUGAUUUCGCAUAAUGUAGUGUAUUUUCAAUUAUUUAAUUUUAAAGUUUUUUUCUUUUUUAAAAUUUUAAAAAGCUCAUUUAUUAAAUAUUACCGUCUAAAAAAUUAACCGCAACCGCGCAACCUUAUCAUGAUACUUCUUAUUAAUUACUUACUACAAAAGCAACGCAAGUAUGGCAACUGUAUUGUUAUGAUUAUUUCAUAACAAUAAUCUGAUAUGGCCUUAGCUCUUCACUUUAUCACCGUGCGCGCAAUUCAAUUAUUUUUCGCUCAAGCUCAAGUGAGGUUAAAAAAUGAUUUUGAAUAUCUUUUAACAUUUUACCACAACCUUAUCAUAAUAUUUUUGAAUUAACUACAUACUUUAAAAAGGAGCAAAUAUAGGGUAACUAUGUUGUUAUAAUUACUUUUAGAAACAGUCACGCAGUCAAGCUCGAGUGAGCUUGAAAAUGAUUUGGAAUAAUUUUUGAAAUAGUUCAAAAGAGUAAUUUUAUUACCGUUAUUAUUUGAUUGUAGUUAAUUAUCAAAAGAGUGCUUUAAAUAACAUUCAAAAUAUAAUUUUUAUCUCAACCAUCUCAUAAUCCUUUCAUUACCAUUUCUGUUUUAAACCACACGGAAUAAAGCUCAAAUGAGUAUGAGCUUGAAAAAAAAGGUUUUCAGAAUAAUAAAAAAUAAAAGAAUUAGUUAUUACCACCAAUUUUUAGAUGUUAAAUUAAAAUAAACAUCAUGGUAAUUGGAAAAGCAGUUAUGAACUAAAUAAAAAUUUUGUAUCAAAUAUAGGCAAAUUUAUUUUACAUAAAAGUUAAAAGUAUGUGGUAAACAUACAUACAUUCAUAUAUAUAUAUAGAUAUAUAGACACACACACACACACACACAUAUAUAUAUAUUCGGGCCUCUAAAGGGUGAUUUCAAAAUUUUGAACCAAAUUUUUACGCUAAUGUAAGUAGUUAUGAAACUAGAUUAUAAAAAAAAGAGAGUCAACUUCAAACCCCAAAAUAAUUUCUAAGGAAUUUUAGGUCUUUUUUCUGAAAAAAAAAAAAAAAAACCUGAGAAAAUAUGAGAAACUUUUCGGAAUGAUAUGAAAGUAUUAGAGAAAGAGGGUUUUGGUGGAAGAAAACCAAACUGAUUUUUAAAGAAAACCUUAUUUUUUUUCGAAAUCAUUUUGUACCUAAAAUCGAAAGUUAUACACACUAUUUUGGGUCUCCAAAGGUGAAAUCAAAAUCCCAAGUUGAUUUUUUGCCUGAAUGUAAAUAUUUUUGAAAUUAGAGUAUAUGAAAGAAUGUGAGAGCCGCGAAAUAAUUUCUACCCAAUUUUAGAUUUUUUAUAUGAAAAAUUGAAGAAAUCCCAAAAAAUUGGCUAAACUUUCCUUCUAUUAUUUCUUCUUAUGUGGUAUGACCUCAUCUUUUUAAGGAGGUCUUUCUCAUAGGACAGAGAUAAGUUAUGCAAUUAUGACUUAUUCAAGAGUCCUUUUUUUUUUUCGUAGAGAAUCCUUGUAUAUUCUAUGAGAAUAGUUGCUUGAGAUGCUGUGAAACUCAUUAGGAAGCACCUUUAUGGUCUAAAGAUGGUUUUGUUGGAAGAAAACUAAUUGGUUUACGAAGAAAAAUAACUUUUCUUCUCAUCCCCAGUUUGGGCCAAAAACCAAGGCAAUAGCAAAUGGUCUUGCGCCUCUAAAGGGUGAUUUUUGAACUUGGAGCGGAUUUUUUUAAUGCAUAUAAAUAUUGUUGAAACUAGGGCAUAGAAAAAAAAAAAAAGGGAGUCGAUAUCAUGCCCCAAAAUAAUUUGCACGGAGUUUUCGGUCUUUUUUCAAAAAUUAAAGAAAAUCUCAAAAAAAAUUAGGAGAACUUGUCAUAAUUAUGUGAAAUUCUUUUAGGUCAUCUCUAAUGCAUAACACCAUUUUGGUGUAACACCAACACCAAAAAUAUAAUUUUUUCACACCAAAUUACUAUUUCAUCUUCAACCCAUUUACACCAUCCACGCGUGACGCAGCAAAUCCAGCAACCCAACAGCAGUCCAGCACCAAACAGGCGACGCAACAGCGACCCACACCCACCAGCACCACCAGCGCGAUGUAGCUACAGCCAAUCGAACGAACGCGAUGCGGCAGCAGCGAUCUCAGCUCCAACGCGACCCAAAACCAGCAGCACCAGCAACGCACGCGAACCAACAGCAAACCAUCACCAACUCCAUCCCAAGUAACCUUUGAUUUUUUUAAUUAUUUUAGAAAUUUUGAGAUUACUGAAGCCAUUGUUGAUGUUGUAAUGGAGAGUAGAUUUGUGGAAGAAUCGAGAGAGAGAGUAAAGAAGAAGAAGAAGGAUGUUUCAUUGUUGUCAUAGCAAGUGGAUAACGAAGAAGAAGCAUUGUAUUUCGGUUUCAACCACAAAUUCUUUUAAAAAUUAUUAAAGGGUAUUUAACAUUUACCUAGUUUAUCGUAUUUUAUCUCUUGUAAUUUGCAUAUUUUUAUUUGAUCGACACUUUCUCUAAUUUGUCAUCAAAUUAAGCAAAAUUUUCACUUAUAUAUACAUUAUUAUUUUUCUAUGAGAUUUGGUGGAUAAUUGACACGCUGUAGGAACAAUCAAUCAAAAAGAAAUAAAAAUAAAAUUUUAUUAAAUUAUUAAAAGUCCAAGCCCUGUCCAGGCUCAGCCUAGGCCUGCGCAAGCCUGGCCCUGGCCCAACCAUCUCAAGUUUGGACAGGCUUUAGAGGACUUGGGCUUCUUGCCAAUUACACGAGCUUGGACUUGGGCUUGAAAAAGCUUGGUCUAAGCCUGCGAUUUGCCAACCCUACAUAAAAGUAUCUAACAAUGGUAGGAGAUUUUAGAAAGUGACUAAUAUUUUGGACCUAUCAUUUAGGGAGAAGUGUAUAACUCUUGAUCAAACUAGAAAUCUCAUAAUAGAAGAAAUCUUGUACCUCCGAAAAGAAAGGAGAAAUCGUUUUGAUUCGAGGUGAAUCCUGAUCAACUUUGCCUUUACAAGUUGAGUAAAUAUUAAAAAAUUUGAAAAAAGCUUUGUUGUUAUUUAAGAUUAUACCAGUAUAAUGAGCCCGUUCACGUUUUUGGGAGACCUUUUUUUAUGUAGUUGUUUGUAGUUUUCUUUUCUUCAUUAACAUUGGGUUGGCGUGAUAGUGAACCUAUCGAUUGGUAGAGUACAAGACCGAAAAUCAUGCUCUUUGGAGCCCAGAGAUUCCCAUGCUUUCCGUUGGUUAGCAACCAACAAAAAUUUGAGCUUGACGAAGGUGCUGAUAGUUUUCGUAUGGUGGAGAAGUUCUUACAGGUGUGUGUAGUGAUGAAUGAUUACCAUAUGAGUUUUAAAGGUUUCGAGUGAAUAUAUAGAAGAUCACCUGUGAUUGUCCCAUGAUUGAAUGUCUACACAUGUUACCCAUAAAAUCGGUUGGUGAAUUCUUACUUGUGUGAUUAGGGGUUGCGAAGAUUGUGUGAAUAACAAUUCUGGAUGGGAAAAGAACAUUUUGAAAAAAGCGAAUGAAAGUUGACUAAUGUCGUUAGAUAUUUUAUGAAUAUAUAUCAAUGAGGGCAUCCCUUUGCAUUGAGUUAUUUGAACACACUUCAAUAGUUUUAUUCUAAACUUGACAGGGACUGUAAAUUGGACGAUUUUGGUGAGCCUAAGUGCCUUAAUUGUUUGGAUUUAGCUUUUGGCAAGGGAGAGGGCUUUUGACUUUUUGUUUGUGUCCUUGCUGAAAUUAUUAAUAAUAUUAGCCUUACCCAAUUCAAACAAUGAGCCAACAAAUGUGCUUUAUAACAGGUAGUAGGGGUGGGCAUUUGGUUCGGUUCAGAGGGCAUUUGGUUCAGUUCAGUCUGAACCGAACCGAACCGAACCGUAUUAUGGCAAUUUGGUUUGGUUUAGUUUUUUAUUUGAACCGAACCACAUGGUUCAAGAAAAAAUUAAAAUUAAAAUUAAAAAGGUCAUAAUUUAUCUUUUUUUUUAUUUCUAUUUGUUAGUUAAUACAUGCUAUUAUAUAUGUCAUAGCAUUUGUUAGUUAAUACAUGCUAUUAUAUAUGUCAUAGCGUACACUUUAUUUUAUUGUUGAACUUUAUUAUUUUAAUUUGUUAUUGUUAGAUUUUAUUAUAUUGGUUAUUAUUUAUGGAUUUCUAGAUUAUUUUUUUUGGAAUUUAUUAUGUUAAUUUACUAUUGUUAGAUUUUAUUAUGUUGUUUAUUGUUUGUUAAUUUAUAGAUUCAAGAUUAUUUUUGUAUUAAUAGUGUAUUAUUAUAUUAUAUUUUUUAUUGAAUAAUGAAUAUAUAUGAUACAAUCAAACCAAACCGAACCAAAUUAAAUAGUGCCCACCCCUAACAGGUAGGAUACAAGCAUUGUCGCAAGCACAAGAAAUCAAUUUAUAACUUGAAAAAAUAAAUUGUCAUAAGCUUAUAAAACCGACAAAAUAGCUGAAAAGUAAAUAGUUCUAAUACAAAGCAUAAAAGCUAAUUUUGAUCCCAUCUCACAGAUGGGGCAUAACUUUGGUACAAAAUUGACUAACAUCCAUAAUUCCUCUAAGCAGUUUGGUUGUUGGAGCCCUGAUCACUAUUUGAUGUAUGUUUCUUUUGCUUUCCUUUUCUCCUCCUCCUUUCUGUACUUAAUCCCAUAGGCGUUGCAGAGAGUGUAAAACUAGAAAAAUUUAUAGGAUUAAAAGUACUAUUUCAAGCUUUAAUUUACAUAUGUGGGCAAGUGGUAUUAUAUGAGUUUAAGGACUAUUUGUUCAUGUUACAAGUUUAAAUUUAAUACGACUGUUCAUAAUUAAUCUUUCUUUAGAAAACAUAUAUGUGUGUGUAUACUCACACAUAAUGAACAAUUCUUGUACAUAUACUAUUACAAAUGAUGUGGCAAAUGACGUCACUUUAUUAAUGAGUGUAAAUAUUGGUGAUAAGGAAAAUAAUUACUAUAUUCUAGUUGGACUCCAUAAUAGUGUCACAUUUUAUUUGCCUUAUAGUUGGAAAACAUGAGAAAAUCUUAGAUGCUCCCUCUCUCUCUCUCUCUAUGUAUAUAUAUAGUAGUUCUCUAGUUUGGAAUCUUAAAGUGUGAGAAAAGUUCGAUAAAAUUUUAAAAACUAUGGAGUUUAAGAUGCUUAAAACUUAAAAGACUUAAACCACAUUGUCUAUGCGUUUUUCAGACUUUUUCAGACUUUAAAAAUCUGGAUUCGAAAUUUCUCUCUCUCUCUCUCUCUCUCUCUCUCUCUCUCUCUCUCUCUCUCUCUCUCUCUCUCUAUAUAUAUAUAUAUAUAUAUAAUCUCUUAGAUUCUUUCCGCAAGUGUUGGUUUAGAAAUACACAUGGCAAGAAUCUAACGGAUAAAAGUAUGUGUGUAUAGACACUAGCGAAAGCAUCCAAAAUUUUUCCCCAAAAACAAAAUUUGUACCUUCUUUUAUGCAUGUGGAUGCAUCAAAGAAUUACUGUUUUCAAGUCUACAAAUAGUAAUAAUGACAAUAAUAUGCAACAAUUUACAUAUCUUCGGGCCAAGAUGACCUCUACGGCACAUAGGAGUAUCAUUAGUAUUGCAAUUAUAAUUACUGCAUCUUUUAUAAGGAUACCUAUGCGGCCUUGGAAUGCCUGCUGUCCUUCGAGGUGAAGCUGCCGUUGAUGAGUUAGGAGUGCCCAUCUGCUGGUUUCUCGACGCUGGAACGUUGAUGAGUGUGUAACUUUUCAUCGAUGCUUGCGCUGAUGCUGCCGCAGUAGGCUGAAUAUUAUUACUAGGGUUAAUGCUUAAGUUGUUGUAGUGAAGAGGAGAGUUAGGAAGUUGUGAUCCCAUUACAGAAAGAGCCUGCAGGAAAUGUGCUAAAGCCAUAGCCAUUAUUUGGGUGCAUAUAUUGUGCUUGUCUAUGUUGGUUCCUCAAGUUUGAUUGUGGCCACACAAUUUAGUUGGGAUUAAACUUUUGUCCAAUGUUAGUGUUAUUGUUCAUUCCUUCAUUCACCAUUUCAUAGUUGGUUAUUCCCUGUAUAUAAACAAUCAAAAUGUUAGAGAAACUAUUGACUCAUUAAAUAAUAAUAUAUAUGAGAAAAAUUUUCAAUCUGAAAUUAAAGUUGGGAUUAAAGUUCAGGACAGAUUUACGACACCAUAAAUUCGUCGUAGAUCUUAAUUGUAAAUUUUAAUCUUAGAUCUAAUAAGCACUAUAUAUAUAUAUAUAUAUAUAUAUAUAUAUAUAUAUAUAUAUAUAUAUUGGUUUUUUGAUAUGGAAUUUUAAAGUGCCCGAAAACUUUAAAUUCAUAGGGGCUUAAAAUUUAAAGCGUUUAAGUUGCAUGGUUAUGUAUUUUAUCGGACUUUCUUACAUUUUAAAAUUUAGAAUUGGAACAUUUCCUACAUUUAUAAUUUUUAAGCUAUAAAUUACAAACAAUAUUAACCUGCUCUCGUUUAUAAUUUCUCUGUUAUAACUAACUCGCAUUGUACCAAAAUUUUUGUUUCUCCGUGUUUAUGUUAUUAAUAGAACCAUUAUUAGCUAAUAGGUUCAAGUCUCCGUAAUUACAAAUUAUUCCCAAUAACUAUUAUUGGAUUCCAGUUGUUGUCAUUUAAAAUCAUGAUUUAAAACAAGGCAUAUAUAUAUAUAUAUAUUAACCUCAUUUAUGUGACUUAGUAUCACAAUUCAUAAGUGAUAUGAUUAAAGUUAGAAAAAAAAUUGCAGGAUAUAAUGUUAUUAACUCAUAGCUCUUCAAACAAGUGUUGAUACUUAGUAUUAUAUAUAUAUAUAUAUAUAUAUAUAUAUAUAUAUAGUCUAAAUAAGGAAUGAAGGUAGAAGUGGGAAUAUGAAAUUGAUAAAGGUAAGAGAGACCAAAUUCUGGACAGUCUACAAAUCUUGGGGUAUAAAGUUGCAGGGCGAAACUAUCGAAGUUUUAAAGUAAAAGUGGCCAGGUCCUUGUAAGAGAUUACAAAUUUGGCCUGCUAGUAAUAAUUUUUAAGCUAUAAGUUACAAACAAAAUUAUCCUAAACUCUGUAGUAGCUCCGCCCUUGGUCGAAAAUAUUGUUUAAGCAUUUAUUUUUAAUCCGCCUCAAUCAUUUGACAAACGUCAAUGCAACCCUAACCCCAAGUAUUUGUUAAUAGUAAGUAGCAACAGACUGAAAUUAUAUUAAGAUGAAAAUGAUGACCAAAAAAAAUUUUUUGAAGAAAAAAAUAAUUGCUUAAGAAGUCAUUAAUAACUGGAUCGAUAUGGAGCAGUCAAUCUAAUCUGUUAACACCAAUUAUGCAGCCAAAAAAUGAUAAUAAAAAAGGAGAAAAUUUCAAGAAAGAUGACAAUUCUAUACAUACCAUCAGUCCAUGUGUAUCCAAGAUUUUACAAGAAGAUUACCAAAAUAAUGGAUCUAAACAGAUUUGAUAAUUACUACUUCGUAAAAAUUAAAUAAAUAAAGAGAUCAUUCUAAUUAGAUGGUGCAACCUAAGAGAUAUAAAUUAUCAAGUAUAUGAAGUGGAGCUUCUUUUCUGCAUAUUGAUUGAUCAAACAUUAAUUAAUCUUCAUUUCUUAACAAAAUUGCAAAAGAAAAAUAUUAUUUCUCUAUUAGUUUUUUGAUUGAUUUAAUCAAGAAAUCAUAAUUUUAAAAAAAUGAAGACUAAUAUUAAAUUGUAUAUCAUUCCUGAAGAUUAUGUUCAGAUUUUCAUUUUCAAAUUCAAUUUAAUAAUAGAUCACAUUAUUUAGGCACAUAAGUAAGGAAUGUCUAACACAAAGAAUUACCUCAUGAGAAUUAAGAUGCUGACUGUCAUUAUCACUAUUAGGUAACCCUAACUUCAAUGUCAGAUCAAUCGUCUUUCCAUCAUCAUUGUUCUGAUCGUAGCCAUUCAUUUUGGUUGCCGCUUCUUGAUUGAGCCACUGAGAAUCCAUGAUCAAUGAUCAAUUUCUUUGUUUUCCGAGAACAAAAACAACUUGUUACAGUCCAAAAAUGAACAAGCUAGAUAGAGAGAAAGAGAGAGAAAUGAUGUCAAUUAAUCUGUUCAUGCAUGAAACUGCAUAUAUGAAACUGAAGCUCUUAUUGACCAUUGAGAGAGAGAAGACAUGAUACAUAUGCCACCAAUAGAGAUAUACACACGAAAACACACUCUUUUAGUGAUUUAAAAAAAAAAAAAAGAAAUUAUGCACUAGACUACUUAUUUUUUCUACUUUUUUUAAAAUUACACAUAUCUUAAUUUUUUUAGCUGAGUUCCACCUAAAGUAAUAUUUUCUUGCACCCAUUCACCUUCGUCUGCACGCAAUUAAGAAAACUAAUGGAAAUUGAUCAAAUGACUAUUUUACCCCAAAUAUAAAACUACAAUUUUGCCCUAAAUAAAUGAAAAAAAAUUCGUAGUUGGCCGAAACCUAAUCCCAAACUCAAUCCAAUAACCGAAGAAGUCAUGGCUAGCCACAGGAGAUCGGUGAUGGAUGGUCGAUCUUCAGGCUCGAGCUGCUGGUGGCGCGGUCAUCGAUUUGAUCAAGCUAUUGGCGGCAGAGAAAGUAAAGGAGAUUGGUGAGAUGUUGGGUGCAUAAUGAAGAAAGAAAAAGGAGAUGUUGUUGGACUGGGGAAUCUGGGAAAAUGGUGUUGCCUAUUGAAGUUUCGAUGGAGAUUGCUACUGAAAUGUUUAUGGUGGAGUGAAAGCCAUGGAUAAUAAUGGCUGCGGGGCAUGUUGUCGGAGUUUGAGGAGGUCUAUUCCAAGGAAAACGAAGAAUCCAAGUGACUUUGAACAAGCUAGAGAACCACUAUAAAAAAAUCACGACAUCUCUGCAUGGUUUAUUCUUGAAAUGAAAACGAUUAUUGAUUAAAUUCUGGCUACACAUGAUGAUUGUUCAAAUUAAAACAAUUAUUGCCAUUGAUUCCCCAUCCCAAUGCCAUUUACUUUCUUCAAUCUCUACGACUGAUUAUGAAAUAAGGAAUUUUUUUUUAAUUAAUUAUGAAACAAAGAAUUUGAUUGUGCUGAAACAAAGCAUUUCGAGAGGUAGGAAGAAACUAAAAAGCGAUGUUAUUUAUUUUUUGCGGGGUCAAAUGACAAAUUUAUUCUUAUGACAUCAGCGAGGUUUUAAUAGCGUGAACACGAGAGUGGAUGAGUGUAAGAAAAUGUAAGUUCAGGUGUAGGGAUGGCAAAAUAACCUGGACCCAGCUCGGACCCGGACGAACCCGGAUAAUCCGGGCCGGGUUGAACCCGUACCGGAAUGUAAAAAAAACCUGGUCCAGAAUAGAUUUUAAUAACCCGGAUAUAUCUAGGUCCGGAUCUGGGUUUCGGUUAACCCGUACAUCCGGAACCCGAACCCGAAUUUCUAAUUUUACUAUAAUUUUUUAAUUAAUUUUAUUGAUUAAUCUGGAUGUGUUAUUGCUUGGAAGUGUAUUAAUUUUUUAUUUUUAGAAUUUUAAAAAUUGAUAUUGAUUCAUUGAUCCGGGUUCAAAACCCAGAAUCCGGACACCCGAAUUUUCUGGGUUGAACACGGACCUGGACCCGGGUGAAAAAAUCCGGAUUAAAAUCUGGGUCCGGAAAAAGAAAAUGGUAUCCGGGUCCAGAUCCGGGAAGGCUAAACCCAGACCCGAACCCGGACUCGGAUUUUGCCAUCCCUAUUCAGGUGGAACUCAGCCAAAAAAACUAUGAUAUGAAUAUUUUUGAAAAAAUUGGAAACAACAAGUGGUUGGUGGAUAAUUUCCCUCCAAUCUUAUCCUCAUUUGCUUUUUGUUCUUACGUCAUUUAUUCACUUCUAAUUUUGUUGAUUAUUUUUCCCACUUUGCGGCUUAACAAUAAGCUAGACUAAGUGCCUGUUUGGUGUGACUUAUUUAAAAGUUAUAAGUGCUUAUUUAAUCCCAUAAGCACUUUUGAAAUUUUUUUAUGGUGUUUGGUUUUUUUUUUAGUAGAGUUUUUUUAGCUUAAAUAAGCUAAUUUACCUCUACUAGCAAAAGCCCAAAAUUUGAGCUUUUGGGAGUAGAGGUUAGAGAGUUUUUCCAAAAAAUAUAUAAUAUCAAAAAUAUCCUUGACAUAUUUCAUUAAUUACAUAAUACCCUUUGUAUAAAACUUACCCAACGAAAAUUGUUGCCGCCAUAUAAACAUAUUACUGCCGCCACUUCACUUUAUCUUUCUUUUUUUUUUAAAUAAUCAGCACUUUAAUUUUGCAAUUCCUAUACAUAACCAACACUUGAGAGAGCAAUCAUAGUCAUAGCCAACAUUUUUGGUGAGGAGGAUGUCAGAUAAUGCGACACUUCUCAUGUUCCGUUAACAUUUCAGUUAUAUUAUUGAUUAUCAUUUUAAUUUGGAUAGUAUUAUUUGUUUAGGAGAAUAUAUCAAUUAUGCAAUUUUUAAUUUUGAAAAUUAAAGAAACGAUUGAACUAAUUUUUUCUUAUUAAUUGAUAGCUUGGAUGCAUUUUGCUACAUAUUAUAUAAUUAUGAAAACAUAUCUUUUUUGGUAAUUUAAUUACACAAAAAUACUUUUAGUUUUACACAAUCAAAUAGUUUAAUAGUUCAAAAGUACUUUUUUAAUUGACAACCAAACACCCAAUGACUUUUUGUCCAAAAGCUCUAUUAGUAUAAGCUCUACUACUAUAAGCUAUAUUUAAUAAGCUGUACCAAACGGAGCCUAAAGCAAGAAAGGCUCUCAGAGUAUAUUUAGGAUUUGUGAGUUUACAUUUUUAAUUAACUCCAAUAACUAUUGUGGAAUCCCAUUAAGAAGACAAAUACAUGUACAUUUUACUAGCAUAAGUUUAUUAUGAAAUUUUAUCAAGAAUCAUAAAAUAUGCACUGACAUAGAACUAGGGAUGGCAAUGGGGCAGAUAUGGGUUGGAUCUACUCUGCUCCAGAUCCAAAUCCAUAAUAAAAAUCAAGAUUCGUAUCUGCUCCAGAUCCGUCAUGAAUCCAUAUUUUUCGCUCCAUAUCCAUAUCCAAAAAAGAAAUAAAUAUCUAUAUCUGCUCCAAAUUCGAAAAAAAAAAUUAAAAUCCAAAUCUGCUCUAAAUCCGUCAUGAAUUCUAAAAUUUCAUAAUAAAAAAGUAAUAAUUUUUUAGAUUGAAAAUUGAAGGCUAAAAUAUAUUGAUAACAAAUAAAUUAUAUAAUUUUUCUCAAAAAUAUAAUAAAUAUUGUAGCUUAUACUUUUACACCAAAACAACAAAUAAGAAAUAUAAUAAAAUAUCAUUCCGAAGUAAUUGCAGGAGUAAGAUCAAUCUAAUAUUCUAUUAUCUCCUUCAUCGUUCUAAUAUCUACGAUACACCUACCCUCAUUCCUACAACAUUAGAUAAUGACAUAUAAAUUAAAUAUGAUUUAUAUUCAGUCCUUUAUUAUUUUUAUUAUGACCAUAUUUGACUAAAUAUAUGAAUAACUAUAUUCCUUAAAAAUUAUUUGACCAAUAUAAUAAAAUAAAUUACCAGGUUAUAUUACUUGGCUUGCAAUUUGAAUAUUGCAUGUACAUGCUUUGAGGUUGGCUGACCUUUAAAUUUACAAAACUAACCUUUAAGUUUUAAGAGUUUAAAUGCAUGAUAAAUACUACUAAUAUGUUAUGAAUAAAAUUUAUUAUCAUUAUAAUUUCACAAUUGUUAAGAAACUUUUAAAAUAAAAUAAAAUUAAAAGAUGAGUGGAUAUGGAUAUGGAUUUAGAUAUUAAGAUAGAUCCAGAUCUGCUCCAGAUCCAUCUUAGAUCCGCACAUCGAUAUCCAAAUCCGAUCCAAAUCCAUUUUAAACCGAUUCAAAUCCGAUCCGAUUGAAUUUGGAUCACGUGGAUCUUGGAUCAGAUCCAAUCCAUUGCCAUCCCUACAUAGAACUGCCUACUACAGCCUUCGCAGCGAGAGAAGGACGACGCUGCCUACUACAAGAAUGUCACAGAUUGUUUGGGGCCUAUCCGACUUUGUUUGGGGCCUGUCCGACUUGUACAAUUUUCAUAGGUCUUAACCUACAAAUUUUCAUAGGAACUAGUCGUACAUUUUGCAUUUUGGAUUUCUUACGUCGUGCUCAACUCUACUGUUUAUAUAGGGGUGUUCACAGAGGCUACUUAUUUUGUAUCCGGGCUUGUCUAUUUAUGUGUUUGUUGUUGAAGCUGAAGUAAUGUCCCCAGGUUCAAUUGGCUCAAGUUCCUUGUCGCGUUUUUUUCCUUUUUUCAUACACACACGCGCACACACACACACUCUCUCUUAACUUUCUUCUUCGUGAUGUAAUACUAGGCUGUUGCUUAAGAGAUUAAUGGUAUGUUGCUCUAUUUCGAUUCACUAUCUCUCAACAUAUGUAUGUGUUAUGUAAUUUAUACCCCAUUGCAUUGCGGCUUGGUAAGUGUUCUAGUUAUUUUGAUCCCUCAAAUUUUUAUUUUAAAAAAAAAUUCAGUGAACUUAGUGAUGUAAUCCUAUCCAUAAAUGUAUGGACUUAUCUUUCUGUGUGAAUUGCAUGCCUCAAAGCAUUAACAUCCUCUGGUGACUUAUGGUCGAGACUUCUAGUGGUUGAUUUCUAUUGUGUUUUGAUCCGAUUUCUUUCAGAAAUAUUUGUCUUAAAGCACAAAAACGUCGCUUUCAGAAAUAUUUUCCGUCAAAGCAUAAAUAUGUUUCCGAAAAAUAGCUUCGCAGUUUUCUUGAAACGCUGUUGGAAAUAUACCGUAGGAAAAAUUCAUCCCCUCUAUAUCAAAACCACCUUGUCACACUUGAAAAUGAGAAAUAGGAUAAUAUUUGUACAGCAUAUUGGUUUUUGUUGCAAUGCCUCUAUUUAACUGGUGAAAUGUGUCAUUUGCAUAAUAUCUUUAUUUUUGCAGGGUACAGUGUAGAGAUUACUUAACAAGGAGCAAAAGCAAGAUAGUUGAACUAUAUUCAAGAUUAAAACAUUAAAAAGAACUUGAGGAAGUCAUUAAUAUGAGAAACAGUAAGUGAAUGACAAGUUGGUAGAUUAGAUGGAAAUGUGAUAAUAGGUAGUACAGCCAAAACGAUCCCAAGUAAAAAUGAAACUAACACACAAAACAAUCCUUCUAAAGAAGCUCUCUCUCUUUGGAGGUGGUCCAGUGAUCAAAUGCCGCGGGUUCUGAGGGCUGGUACGCCUCUUCUUCUACUGAUAGUAAGAGGUCACGUCCAAUAGUCUGAACCUCAGACAUAAUAUCAUCUCUUUCACACUCUGAAAGGCCGAUGGCAGACAUCAUCCCGACGAUUUCCCUCCUGCCUCCUUCUUCGAUAUAAAACCGGCGCAUGGGGAUGAAAUCGUCGAAGUCUGAUUUGGUCAGCAGAUAGACCAUAUCCCACGUAUCCAUCAUCCUAAACAGCUGCUCUCUGCACUGCAGUUGAGCUUUCAUCUUGGUUGAAAGCAUCUUUGAUACCUGAAAUCCGAAACAUACUGAAAUCAGUGCAUGUACAAGCAGGUCAUGAAAAGAAUUGCAAAACAGAAGGCUGUAGAUAAUGUUAGAUUUAUCAACAUAUCAGAAAUAAAAUAACUCUAUAAAGAAAUGGGAUGAACAUAGCUGAAAGUAGAAGAGAAUAAAUAAGAGGAAAGAGAGAAUUCAUAAGAACGAAAGUUUCCCAAUAUUAAUUCAUUCAUAUCAUCCAUUACAAUAAGCCCUGUGCCCUCUUUAAAGGGAAAAGAUAUAAAUUCAAAAGUAAUGUUAUUACAAAAUUCCUUAACCUAAACAGAAAUGGAUUAUUAUAAUAUUAAACCAUAAGUGAUAUUUAUUGUAAUAAAAAUUCCUCAUAAUGAUAUAUUACAAUAAUACUGUUCCAAAAGAUUCUAAUAUGACCAGCAAAGAAAUCUAACAAAAUACUAAGUUCCAUGCCUACGUUUUGAAUACACAGGUAUAUCUUUAGGAUGUCUUACAUCAAUCCCCCCUGUUGGAAAAAGCUCGACUCCGAGGAAUAGUGCUGCAAAUAAGAGUCCAGUAACAUGGAAUCAAGACAGAAAAGCUUGUCCUUAGGGAGCCCUGCAUCAUCUAUGUCAAGGUGAUUCUUCCAUCGGAGCAAGAAUCAGCGAUAACCUCCAUUAGGUGAAGUCACAAAUUGAUCAUUAAGAUAUCUGCUAUAUCAUCAGCAGAUCCAGGUAAAAAUGGAGGUAAAUGAGGUGCCGGAACAGAUGAUGAAUCUGUAGACAUAUCAGGGGAAAAAAAAAAAAAAACUGGAGGCUCAAAAGUGGCCUGGUAAGGAAACAAGUCUGCUGCAUCAAUGCUGGACUAAUAGUCAAGUGCGAAGGCAAGUCUAGUAAGUAAGCAUUACUGCCCAGCUUUUAAAGAAUGCGAAAAGCUCCAGUGGCUCGUGUGUGUAAUUUUUGUGAGAAGUGUUUGGUAAAAUGUUCAGGACAUAUGCGAACCAUAACAUAAUCAUUUUCCCGAAAUCCUACAUGCCGAAGAUGUGCAUCAGCUGCCAGUUUAUGAUUUUCAUUACAAAGGGCAAUUCUCGCAUGUGUGGGGCAAAAUCAGAGGCAAAUUCAGGACGGCGAGAAUUAUGUGGUAUAGAGACAAGGUCAACAGGCUGACAUGGUGACAUGCCAUCAACAGUCAUAAAAGGGCUUUUUCCAGUGGUCCUGUGGACAGCAUUAUUAUAAGCAAAUUCAGGCAUAGGAAGAACAAGAUCCCAAUUACCAGGCUUAACACCUACUAAACAACAUAACAGUAUCCCAAACUAUGGUUAACAGCCUCAGUUUGACCAUCAGUUUGAGGUGAAAAGCAGAUGAAAAUUUUACGGUAUUCCAAAGUGUUUUCCAAAAAUAGCUAAAGAAUUUAACAUCCCUAUCAGACACUAUGGUAACAGGCAGACCAUGCAAUUUAACAAUCUCCUUAGAGAAUAACUUCACAACAUGCAAAGCAUCAGCAGUCCUAGCACAAGGAAUAAAAUGGGCCAAGCCAUCUUAGAAUAUUGAUCUACCACAACAAACCAGAAUCAUGACUGUGAGCAGUUUUUGGCAAUCCUAAGACAAAAUCCAUGCAUACGCCUCGUCAAGGAGUGUAAGGCACAGGCAGUGGGGUGUCCAACCCUCAAUUAUGUUUCUUAGCUUUAGCUAGUUGACGAGUUAUACACUGAGACACAAUCUUGGCGACAUCUUUUCUUAAUGAAGGCUAAUAGAAUCUAUCUUCAACUAAAGCUAUUGUCUUAUCUGUACCUAAGUGACCAGCUGAUCCUCCGGCAUGCAUUUCCCAAACAAGCAAGUCUUGAAAUGAGGCAUGGGGAAUGCAUAGGUGAACUCCUCUAAAAAAUAUCCAUUGUGAAUAAAAUAUCCCAAUAAAUUAUCCCAAACUCAGGACAAGAGGAGUAGACAGAUUUGGUCCUAUCAAAGCCUAAUACUUGGAUGCUCAAAGUAUGCAAAAGGUUAGCCACAUGGCUCAGAGCAUAAGCAACUUUGUUAUCCUCGCCUGGGCGAUGCCUAAGUACAAACAUAAAGGUCUGAAGAAACUCAACCCAUCUAUCAGUUAGCCUUUUUUGAGACUGAAGGUACUUGAAGGCUUGGUGGUCAGAGUACAGGACAAAUUCAUUAGACAACAAAUAGUUGCCAGUGACUAAGAGCCCUAAUAAUUGCAUAAAUCAUUAAGUUUUUCACUAGAAAGAGCUAUAUGAUGUCCCUCUUGACUUAAUGCAUCUCCUAUACCUACCCCAGAAGCAUCACAAGCUACCUCAAAGACUAUAUAAAAGUCAGGAUUCCUUAGGACAGGAGCUUCAGUCAUUUUUAACUUAAUUUCUUCAAGUGCCCUAGUGGCUGCAGGAGUCCAGUGAAACUCAUCUUAUCUCGCGCAAUUAGUAAUAAGAGCCAUAAUGGUGCUAAAUCCUCUAGUAAAUCUCCUGUAAAAUGAUGCAAAGUUGCAAACCCAUGAAAACUACAUACCUCGGUCAAAGUCUUAGGAAUAGGCCAAUCUUUAAUGGUUUUAACUUUUUGGGCAUCAGCAUUGAUACCCUCAGCAGACACUAAGAAACUUAGGAAAAGGGUGAGGAAGACCUGAUUAAGAUGAUCUAGGUGCUCCAUCAUAGACUAACCGUAGAUGAGAAUGUCAUCGAAGUAAACCACUAAAAAUUUUCCAAUAAAAGGGUCAUUACUCUCAUAAAAGUACUAGGUGCAUUUGACAUACCAAAAGGCAUAGCUAACCACUCAUAUAGGCCAUCUGGAGACUUGAAAGCUGUUUUCCAAUCAUCUCCAGGUCUAAUCCUAAUAUGAUGAUAUCCACUCCUUGGAUCUAUCUUAGAGAACCAUUGAGAACCAGCCAGUUCAUCUAGCAUAUCUUCAAGCCUAGGAAUGGAAACCUAUCCUUGAUAGUAAUUUUGUUAGUGGCUAGACUAUUAACACACAUUCUCCACGACAGAUCUUUCUUAGGGGUGAGCAGUACUAAGACAGGAAGGUGCAUUGAUCAGAUUACCGACCGGGGAUAAAACUUCACUUCCACUUAGCUCACGGCUAAGAACAUAAAUUUGCGGAAUCUCGACCUCAAUCUCAGACCCUGAUCAAAGGUCUAACCUUUGCUUUGGUGGUAUACCACUACCACUUCCUAUAGGCUACCCCCACUGCAGAGUGGUCAAUUCCGCUGCCAAUCAGUCGAUUCAGUCACGUAUCGAAGAGGGCUAUAUGUAGGCCGUUUGCUAUUGCGAUAAGGGCUGCUCGCCUUUAUACGGCUUGGCUUCGCUAUCGCUCCGUCGCCCUAAAAAGUCAUAUUCCUACCAUACAAGAAUGCCUAUUAUCUAGUGCUAGAAGCUAGAAGCUUCGCCAUAAGCAAGCAAGACGAGGUCGCUCUGCUUCGUAGACAAGUGAAUUUUUUGCCAAAAGUCCUUGUAUUUGUUUGUUUAACUCAACUGUAUCGGCAGGGUUCAUCCUAUAAUGUGGACAGUUUGGCAACUGAGAUCCUGGGACUAAGUCAAUGGCAUGCUGAAUAGAUCUCAUGGGAGGUAAUUGAUCGGGUAGCUCAUCAGGAGGAAUAUCCUGAAAGUUCUCUAACAAAUUAUUAAUCUCAGGGUAAUAGUCAAAUCUAGGCUCUAAAGUAUCAAGAGAAUUAUCUUGCAAUAUCAAACCUAGCAGGAUAGUUGUGUCUUCUAUGUCAUGCUCAAGAUUUUUUGAAAAUAAAAGUUUUAUGCCAUGAUUCACGACAAAGGAAAACAAGAUGUUGAAUUACCAUUCGAAGCUUAGAACCAUCAAUGAUUUUGAUGUUCGGAAUGAUGAUGAUAUGCUUAUCAGCCAAUGCAUCAACUAUAUCUUGCAGCACUUGCCGUAGUAAUUCAGUGAAUUGUGCUUGGCCCAACUCUUCCUCCCCUUCGGCUCCAUGUUUCUUCAAGAUGUCAUUUAGCUGAGGAAAUUCUGUUGAACGACACUCUACAUAUCAAUUAUAUCGACUUAAGAACAGUUCUAAGUGAUUGACGAAAAUAAAUUACUUCUUAGCACAUUUGAUACAUAGACAAAAGUUAAGAAACUGUGAUUUGGCAGCCGGAACUAACUACACUAUAACAAGAAAAUUUGAUCAAAUUACACAUAUAUGUACAAGCAAACCAAGAAACCUAGCACAUCCAAUAUAUGUACAUCACAAUUCAGAAUGAAAAGGAAGUGAACCUGAAAACGGAGGGACACCGAAUUCAACUCCCAUAUGACCAAGAGCAUUUUGUAUCUCGCCUUUGCAAACCUUGCCCUCAUCUUCAGUAUCCAGAUCAGCGAACAGAUUUUCGGCUAACAUGGUGAAAUCAUCUUCAUUCCCCAACCAUAACUCCUUUCGUUUUUAAAUCAUCUUUAUAUGCGUAGCUUUUUCAGGUGGGGCCUGUAUCUUUGUUGUUUCUUCGAAUGAAUCAAUAUGAAGACUCCACUAUGAAAUUGCAAGAACAAAUUGGAUGGUUCCAAGUAGGAUAUCUUUAAAACCAAACUGAAGGAAUCAUUUCUAAUUCCUUCCAAAAGUAAAGGAAUAAUAGUACAUGAAAAAGGCGACGAGACGACUAUCAUAUAUGUACAAUUAAUCGGAGUAACAUGAGUUUUGUGUUCCAAUUAAUGGCUUAUGUACAAUUUAUACAUUUGAUUAUUCAGUACAGCUAAUUAAUUCUGUCAACAGAAGACAGUAUCCACCCACUCUGCUUAGUAAAAAAGGGUAAAUUUAGAAAAUUUUUAUUAUCACUUCAACUGAACCAAAUAAAGCUUAGCAGCAAAAAAACUCAUUACCUUUGAGUUCAUCGGCGAUGGCAGUGAUGUAAUCAGAGGCCAGCUUAGAGGCGUGAUCUCUAUCAAACUCCUUGAUUCUGAAAGUGACGUCAUCGUCGGAGCCGGAAAUAUGUUUUAGAGCAGUUGACUUCAGGUUUUGAGGCAAUGAGAGACCGAAAAGGGAAGAGGAUGCUUCGUUUUCAGCAAAAUCGAGAAGCUGAGCUCCAGUGACGGUGCUGCUGUCGGAGGUGGGGAGGGCGAGGGGUUGAGAGAGUGAUCGGAGUUGGGUCCCGUCGAUGACCGUGAAGCCUCCAGCGGACAUUUUGAGUGUUUGAUUUUAGAGUUUGAUUGCGUCUGUCAUUUUGAGAUUUUAAAACAUGAAACAGGACUAAGAAAUUGAAGGGGAAUUGGGGAGGGCUGCUACUCUGAAAAAGGCGGGAUCGAUCCACGACAUCACCUUACUACACAUAUGAUGAAAUGCUGAGGAUGUCGGUUUUAGGAUAUUUAGUCUGCAAUUAAUUAAUUAUUAAUUUAUAUAGUGAGUGUGCUUUGUAGGAAAAUAGAAAAUUUUGAUGUUUAUUAUUUUAUGAAUUUAACGAAAUAUUAAUUUAACACAUUGGUCUAAAUCGAAACGAAUAAAAGUUAUAUUUAGUUGUGAUUAUUAGUUUAUUAAGUACUAAUUUAUAGAGGAUCUAUUAUAUUUACCAUUUUAUUUAAAAUUGUUUCUUUUAUUUUAAACUCAAAAACUGCAAAAAUUAAAAGAGAUUACUGCAUUCGCCAAAGAACGGCUAUGAGCAUUUUUCUCGCUCUCUUGUACGUGACGCUAUCCUAAUUACACUCAUCUCAAAUCUUUUUUGUUAGUUACCUUUGAUAUAAGGCAGCAAGACCCUACAUAAUUACUCAAACUGAACAUUAUUUUUCUAAAAAGUUUCAAAUAAAGAAUAAAUUAGUGACUUAGGUUUCUUGACCACUAAGGUUGUUUUAAAAUAAUUAAUAAUUUUAAUUGUACUAUUUUACUCUUAUAACAUAAAAUGAUGAAAUUACCUCAAAAAAACAUGUGUUAAAAAUGUUAAAACAAGUCAUAGAUCGCAAAAGGAAAAAAAAAAGAUUUAAUUACUUAAUUCUCCACACUUCUUACUCAUUUGAAUGUUUGAAAAAUAAUUUGAUUUUUUCAUAAAUAUAUAUUUUUUUAAAAAUGCAUUUAUAAAAAUUGAAGGAAAAUAUCACCACCCAUAAAUAAAUUGCAAGCAUUAAUUAAUUUAAAAAAUGCAUUUAAUUAGUUUUCUCUUUCAAACAUUAAUUUAUAUCUUUGGUCGUAGUUUUUCUCCUCUCUUCUCUACCUUAUCACCAUUCAUAAUCGGAAAGCUUCGAACUUAAAAAAAAAAAAAUGCAUUGUGCUAUGAAAAUGUUGAUUUGUCCAUGUAUAAUUGGAUUUGUAAAAUAGUCCUAUGAGUGAGUAAAGUUCGAGAAGAACAAAAAAAGGCGAAAACUACUUUGCUUCAUGUGUUUCGUACCCCACUCAUUUGUUAUUUACCAAAGUUACCGUUGGAUUUCAUCUGAUGGCUGUAAAAGAAACACAUAGAGAAAUAGGAGUAACUGGAGAAACAAGUAAUGGGUCGGUCACCUGGAUUGGUAAUUUUUUUUUUUUCGAUUUUCGGUGGGAGGGCAAAAGCCACUGCACCGCACCUGGAUUGGUAAUUGAGCAUAGGGAAAAUAACAAAAUUAAACUAAAAAUUUAUGAAUAAUUAGCUACUUCCGACAAAAAUCUAAGAAACCUGCAAUUUUUUAUCAAGCAAAUAAAUUAAUAGCAACAACAGCGGCUAAUCGAUGCGACAACAACAAUGGCUACUUCCGGCAACAACAGCCUCUUUAAUUUGAGUUAGUUCGCUGAGUUUAUGUCCGAAUUCUUAAAUGGAUAAUGAAUUUAUUGUUUUAGUACUAAUUGUUGAUGAUUAUAGGUUAGAUCUUGUUGAGCGAUUAGUUUUUUAACAUUAGGCUUGAAUUGGGAAUGAAAAUUGAUAAAAUGCUUAUGGAAAUAAGUUUGUUAAAUACGGCAAUACAAAUGUUUGCUAAAAUGCCUCAAAGAAUACAAUUUGUUGUUUAGCCUUAAUUUUGCUAUUAUUUUACUUGAAUGAAUAUCUAAGAAGGUUGCAACUAGUAUUGUCGCUUGAAUAUAGGCAAUGGUAUGGUGUUAUGGGUGAUUAUGAGUGAAAAGUUCUUGUCACGCUAACCUUGUAAGUGAAAACCUUGUUUUUCUCAAACAAAACCUAAAUUAAGAAGAUUCAAUACUUCAUCAUACCUUUCAGAAGACAGUAUCAAGACAAUAAUGUCGAGAACCAUCACCUAUAAACUUCAUCCGUCGGAAAGAUCGCAGAUGAUGUUACACGUACAAAUUUUUUUGUUUUUUUAUUUUUUAUUUUUUGAUUUACAAGUGCUACGCUUUCAGCCGGUUAUCCGUUUUUCAAAUGUUAAAUCUUAGUUGUUAGAUACCUUUCUUCACAAUCUAACGACUCAUUCGUUAUGAGAUAAAGGACUGGGGUACCAAACUUAUGACGCAAGAUAGCUGGAUCCACAAAAAAAUUAUAACAAUUGAAAGAAGAGCAUACGAGUCUUACAAUAUGAAAGAAUUCUCGCCUCAAUUCAAACAAUUAAAUUCAGGAGAAACCACAACCGAUUGUGAGCUCCCCAUUUAUCAUUUACUAAUUGCUAUUAUGAUUCUUUUUUGUCAAAUUCAUUUUCAUGUUUGACAACACCCAUAUCUUCCAUUUGGCAAGUUAGUUCAUCCUAUUUACCAUUGAUCGUGUAAAAUCUCAAGUAAUGUUACACCCGCAUAUUCUGUAAAUCGUUAUAAUGAUUUGAAUUAGUUAGUUUUUUAUUUUUUUAUAAACAUUAUUUUUGCCUUAUUUAAGUUAUUUGGUUAUUUUCAAAUCUUCAAAUUUGAAUUGAUUUGAAAAAGAUUAGAAACUAUCCCUUUUUUAUUUUCCUCAACUACUCAUGUUUUGGUAAAUCAAAACUCACUUUUUUUUUUAAACAAUAAUUAAUGAGGGUCACAUUAUUUGGGACUCAAAUGAUAAGGUCCCUAACAUUACACUUUUCCAAAAUUCAACACAUAUUACUGUCUUCUUUCUCAAUCAAAACUAAGAAAUUUAGUAUUUUCUUGCACUCGAUGGUGACGGCGGCAGAGGGGGAUGCACGAACAACUCUAUAGGUUGUGACAGACUGACAGUGGCAGUAGAGAUGGAGCAACCGAACCGAGCAAAGCUGCGUGCCAAGGCUAGCGAGUCAGCAACCGAGACGAGAUGAUGCCAACGGAGGGUGGUGGCUGCUGCUGGCUUCGAGUGUUGGAGGCGCGGCAGCCGCAGCGUUGUUGCUUAUGCUUUCCAAGGGAUUUGGCGAUUAGGGAUUUCAAGGCAGCCGGUGGCGGUGGCACCGUGGCAGCGCGGCUGCUUAUGCUUUUCAGAAGGGAAUGCAAUCUGUAGGUUGGCAAUUUAAGGGUCUGGGCCGGGCUUUGCCAAGCCCAGGAUCAGGCCUAUAUAAUUUUAAAUAAGUUUAGGUCCUCUCAAAGUCCAUUCAAGUUGAGCGGACUUUGGACGGGCCGGGCCUUGACGGGUUUGGGUCGGGCCGCGGGCCAAGCCCGGGCUUUUACGAGAUUUUAAAUUUUUUUAAAAAAAUAAAAUUAUAAAUUUUCAAAACAUAAUUAACCAAUACAUAAUACUAUAAUAGGUUAAAAACUUAAAUAUAAUUCUCUAAUACAUGAUUAGCAACACAAAAUAUAAAAAUACUAACAAUACAAAUACCGUACACAACGUACAAAUCAACCACUAAUAUAAAAAAAAAAACUAAUAGAAAUUUACCGAUUUAAGAAUUUUGACAUUUUGUGACAAAACCUUUGCCCUUUCCCUUUGCCCGAUUUUUUUAUUAUUUUGUUUAAUUAUUUUUUCAAUUUUAUAAUAUAUUAUACAUUUUUUAAUAUAUAUAUAUAUAUAUAUAUAUAUAUAUUAUACAUAUAUAUAUAUAUUUUAUAAUACAUAUAUUUAUUUUGUAAAGCAAUUAUUUUUUUUUUCCAAUUUUAUAAUAUAUUAUACAUUUUUUAAUAUAUAUAUAUAUAUAUAAAGCCAUUAUCCAUAAUAUUAUAUAUAUAUAUAUAUAUAUAUAUAUAUUAUUUAUUAUAAAGCCCAGGCUUAAGCCCGGGCUUUUCAUUUAGGCCCUUGACUGAGCCCAUAUGUUAUGAGCUUUAUUAACUUUGAGCCCUUACCCAUAAUUUCAAGCCACGGGCAGGGCUUCAAGCCCGCGGGCCUGGGCCGGGCCGAUGUGGGCCUAGGCUGGCCCGGGCUUUUCUGCCAACCCUAGCAAUCUGCUACUUAUGCUUACUGUAUUAGGGAUUUGGAUUUGGGCGAUUUGGGCAAUUGGGUUUUGAUUUUUGUAUUUAAAUUUUUUUUUUAAUAUACCGGGUCCGGAUUCUGGGUUUUUGGGGCUGAGACCGGAACCGGGAUUGGAAAUGUCCGGGUUUGAGAAUUUCGCACCGUAUAUUUUUCUUAUAAAACUCCAUUUCGGAUAAAUUUACAUUUAAAGACAAAAUAACAAUAACACACAUUUAAUUUUUUUUGAACAAAUUACUUACAUUCAUUAUUAAAUUUUUUUUUUUUACCUCUCACUUCAAUUUAUCAAACUAAAAUAAGUUGUAGAAAUUUCAAAUAAUAUACAUAUUUUUUUAUUUUUAAUUAAUUAAAUAUUUUUAUACUUAAAAUUUUUUAAAAUUAUAAUUUAAAAUAAGUGCACUUUAAGUUAAUGGUUGACAUUCAAAAAUUCAUCAUUUAUAAAAUUUCAAAAUUUAUGUGUAGGGCGAUGACAAGAUUAUUAAAGAAAAGAAAAUAACAAAAUCGUACUUUGAAUUUUAAUAAUUAAAAAAAUAAAAACUAGAUGAAAUAUUUUAAAAUAAAAAAGAUAUUUUUUUAAAAUAAAAUAAAAAUAAUUGAAAAGGAGUUUUAUGAGGAGAAUCGAGGGUUGCCGAUAAUCAUCGCCCACAAGGAUUUCCUAUUGAGUAUAGGAAUCCCUUUGUCGCAAUGAAACUAGGAAUAUAUAAAUCAAGUGAGUUUGUGAGACCUUCUUCUCUUAAUUCUUUCAUAAGCAGUUCUCUAAUUUCUCUCUGCGAUUUUUAUUCAUUCAGUACCCUCAAUCGUUCAUCUGAUCUCACCCAAUUCUCUUUCUCAUCGAUCUCUUUUGAUUUUAAUAUUAAUCUAAGAAAUCAGAGCAUUAAGCAUCGAUCCCUUUUGAGUCUAAUUGUCAUGGGUUUAUCAAAAAACAUUGAUUUUGAAAUUACUCUAAGAAAUCAGAGCAUUAAGCGUCGAUCCCUUUUGCGUUCAAUGGUCAUGGGUUUGCCAAGAAACAGGAGGAGCAGGGAAUAUGCUGAAUCCAUGAAAUCCAAGUUGCCAUCGGAUAUAAAAAAGAAGAGAAAAUUUGAAGAAGAGGAGCAUGCGGCUUUUACUUGUUCCAAGAAACCUCCUGCUACAGUUUCUAAAAAUGAAGAGUUCAAGUGUUCUGAUGUCGAUGCUACACGUAACCAAUUUCGUGAGCGUCUUGUAGAGGGAUUGUCUAAAGUUUAUGAAGAGAAUAAUGAAGAGAUGAUGAAGGAGCAAUUAGGAGCUUGUGACCUAGUUGGAGUUGCUGCAUCAGUAGAAUCAGCGCUGUUCAAAACGUUGGGUCCUAUCACUGGGUCAAACAGACCCCAGUAUAGAACCAUCUUGUUCAGUGUUAGGGAUUCAACAAAUCCUGACUUUAGAAGAAAGAUUCUUCUUGGAGAAGUGAAGCCUGAGAGCAUUCCUACCAUGACGGAUGAAGAGAUGUCUAGCCAUAAAGUACAACAGGAGAUUCGCGAGAUUAGGGAGAGAGUUUUAGCCAAGAUUCCGGACUCAGUUGAUGAUGAUGAUGAUCCCUAUGAGAGAUUAAAAGCUGAUGAUCGUUGGCUCUUUUAUAGGUCUUAUAUAGGUUAAUUAAUAUGAUGCUUUUAAUUAAGCUACUACUUUGAGUUAUUGGGUUUUCAUUUUCAUUUUGUUCAAUUGUACUUUGACUUUGAGUUAUUUGGUUUUCAUAUUCAUUUUGUUCAAUUGGACUUUGAAAUGGUAUUUUAAUUCUCUGAUCACUUCCUUUAUCACAUGACAACAAAUAUGUUUAAUCCCUCUUCAUUCUUUCAUCAUAUACAUAGCAACGUCGCAACUUCCAUCUAUAUAUUUGACAUCAUUAAACGGGUAACAACGCAAUUGUGUAGGAACCUAUAUUUGUCUUUGUAUAAUUGAAACAGGCGCAAAAUUAUCAUUUAGGGAAAAAAGAAAAAAACAUAACAGACAAUAACUAUCAAAGUCAUUUCAGCAUUCACAGUUCACAUAGGAUUUUAUCCUUCGUUAUGGGAUGAUGUAGGCCUGUAUGUUGGACUUGAUCGAGAAUAUGAGGGAGAUGGUGGUGAAUACGAAGUUGAUGUCGGACUGCACACAAAGAAAAAGAUAAUUUCGGAUUACAUAACCAUAAUUCAUCGGACAAAAAAAAUUUAACCACCUGUCCAAUACCAACCUACAGGAACAAGAAAGCUAGCAUAGCCACAAAGAUAUUUCAUGUGAGUAGAAUUCUAUCAAAAGCAAGGCCUAAUAAACCAGAUAUGACCCUAAACACAAAUAUUAGACUUGACCUAUAGAUUUGCAUUAUGGCUUACCUGUACGUUGGACUUAUGGACUGGCAGGUGACAUUCUUGCACUACUUGGUGAGUAGGCCAGCGAUCGUCUGUAUGUGGCUGACUGAGGAUUAUAACUUUGGGAUGUAGGGCUGUAGGCUGGUGCAGUUCUUGGUGAAGUUCGGCUGUAACGAGGAGAAGUGGGGCUAUAGGCUGGCAAAGUGGGGCUGAAUGAUGGCGAUAUAGGGCUGUAGGAUGGUGAGGUAGGCCCGUACAAAGGCGAUGUGCUGCUGUACAAAGGAGAGGUUGGACUUGUGCUGUACAAAGGAGAGGUUGGACUGUAAGAUGGUGUAGCAGGAUUGUAUAUGCAGGUGGGGUGCUGUAACUUGGAGAGUUUGGGUUGUAGUUCGGGGAGGUAUGGCCGUAGCCUAGGGAAGAAGGCGAUUAAGAUGGACUUGUAGGAGAAUAGGCAGGACUGGUUGGACUACAACGAAGAAUUGGUGAGUUAGAGCUAUAACCAGGGGAGGUGGGACUGUAUCCAGGUGACGUGGGAUUUUGUCCAGGAGAUGAUGGAUUGUAGCCUGGUGAUGAUGGGCUGUAUCCUCAAGGUGUAGUAGGAGAGAAGGCCAAUGC
Molecule: long non-coding RNA, 30646 nt
Filed under: Citrus maxima (pomelo)
Lineage: Eukaryota; Viridiplantae; Streptophyta; Magnoliopsida; Sapindales; Rutaceae
Description: long non-coding RNA (CMAX_LNC001491)
Source: RNAcentral